GCCAGUUUGGCUCAGUGGAUAGAGUGUCAGUCUGCAGACUGAAGCAUCCCAGUUCCAUUCUGGUGAAGGGGCC
RNAcentral lists this transfer RNA (73 nucleotides) under Myotis davidii. It matches the Rfam family "tRNA". From Rfam's summary of the family: Transfer RNA (tRNA) molecules are approximately 80 nucleotides in length. Lineage: Eukaryota; Metazoa; Chordata; Mammalia; Chiroptera; Vespertilionidae. The record is from Rfam by way of RNAcentral.